CGGAAAGUAGCGCAGUUGGUAGCGUACUACGUUCGGGACGUAGGGGUCGGGAGUUCGAGUCUCCUCUUUCCGA
RNAcentral lists this transfer RNA (73 nucleotides) under Prevotellaceae bacterium. Its description in RNAcentral is "tRNA-Pro". It matches the Rfam family "tRNA". From Rfam's summary of the family: Transfer RNA (tRNA) molecules are approximately 80 nucleotides in length. The record is from RNAcentral. RNAcentral also lists the same sequence under 2 other names. Lineage: Bacteria; Pseudomonadati; Bacteroidota; Bacteroidia; Bacteroidales; Prevotellaceae.